RNAcentral lists this non-coding RNA (30 nucleotides) under Mus musculus (house mouse). The record is from RNAcentral. Lineage: Eukaryota; Metazoa; Chordata; Mammalia; Rodentia; Muridae.
UNCAACUCUUCAGGGACACUGGUGGUGUGG